ACGGGAGGCAGCAGUGAGGAAUAUUGGUCAAUGGAGGCAACUCUGAACCAGCCAUCUCGCGUGAAGGAAUACGGCCCUACGGGUCUUAAACUUCUUUUAUAGGGGGAUAAAGUGAGCCACGUGUGGCUUUUUGUAGGUACCCUAUGAAUAAGCAUCGGCUAACUCCGUGCCAGCAGCCGCGGUAAUACGGAGGAUGCGAGCGUUAUCCGGAUUUAUUGGGUUUAAAGGGUGCGUAGGCGGGAUGUUAAGUCAGCGGUGAAAGCGUGUAGCUCAACUAUACCAAGCCGUUGAAACUGGCGUUCUUGAGUGUAAACGAGGUAGGCGGAAUGUGACGUGUAGCGGUGAAAUGCUUAGAUAUGUCACAGAACCCCGAUUGCGAAGGCAGCUUACCAGCAUACAACUGACGCUGAGGCACGAAAGUGCGGGGAUCAAACAGGAUUAGAUACCCUGGUA
This 453-nucleotide ribosomal RNA is filed under the name uncultured Porphyromonadaceae bacterium. Its description in RNAcentral is "partial 16S ribosomal RNA". It matches the Rfam family "Bacterial small subunit ribosomal RNA", at positions 341 to 792 of the family's 1533-position model. The record is from RNAcentral. Lineage: Bacteria; Pseudomonadati; Bacteroidota; Bacteroidia; Bacteroidales; Porphyromonadaceae.